MicroRNA precursor from Oryza sativa Japonica Group (Japanese rice), 204 nucleotides. It matches the Rfam family "MIR812 microRNA precursor family". NCBI's taxonomy places the organism in Eukaryota, Viridiplantae, Streptophyta, Magnoliopsida, Poales, Poaceae. The record is from Rfam.
AAAAAAACAAACCCUGAUUUUCAUAUCCAACGUUUGAUUGUCCGUCUUAUAUAAAUUUUUUUUAUAAUUAGUAUUUUCAUUGUUGUUAGAUGAUAAAACAUGAUUAAUACUUUAUGCGUAACUUGUCUUUUUAAUUUUUUUUUAUAUUUUUUUUAAAUAAAACGGACGGUCAAAUGUUAGACAAAAAAUAUGGUUUAUCUUUUU